UGAAUGUAUUUAUUCUGAAGGUUUUUUUUUUACACUUUUAUUGAAGAACAAUACAUUACAACAUUGUUCUAAAGUAGGACAAAAAGUACAUUUAUGAUUGCAACUUUUAAACUUACAUAAACAUGUUUCUACAGACAUAAAUGUACUUCCGUAUAAAUGCUAUUGGAGAGAAGUAAAUUAUUAAGGCAGUGUGAAAUUAUUAAAAGAAAAAGAAGAAAAUAAAGAAUUAUUCUGAGUGAUUUUUUUCACUUUUAUCUCAAGCAGUAAGAGUUUUAAAAUUGUUUUAAUGGCGGAGCUUCCGUCCUCACCUCCCACUGAACUGUUAGCUAUAAUCUUUCACAGCUGCGAGCUGUGAGGAAAUAAAUCCCUGCAGGACCGUUGUUGAUUGAAGGACAAUGGCCAAUGUUUUCCAUGGACAGGACUCUGAUUGAAGGUGGAAGUUGGGUCACAGCAGCAGGAG
Xiphophorus couchianus (Monterrey platyfish) is the source of this 460-nucleotide long non-coding RNA. RefSeq lists it as uncharacterized. The record is from RefSeq and is a predicted model, not a curated record. Lineage: Eukaryota; Metazoa; Chordata; Actinopteri; Cyprinodontiformes; Poeciliidae. The transcript has 4 exons.